This is a small nucleolar RNA of Nannospalax galili (Upper Galilee mountains blind mole rat), 74 nucleotides long. Lineage: Eukaryota; Metazoa; Chordata; Mammalia; Rodentia; Spalacidae. The record is from RefSeq and is a predicted model, not a curated record.
UCAGCCUGUGAUGAGGAUGUUUCCCACUCAUGUUCGAGAUUCCCAGCCAUGAGAUGCAUUACCUCUGAGGCUGG